CUGCCAUCGCUGUCCCACCCAGCCCAUCUGCUCAGCUCCGGCAUCUGUCCUGCAGGUCACAGCAUCUCCAGGAAGGGGAAGCAUGAGGGAGCAGAAUUGUUUCAAGAGGAUGACUAUGUCUUCCAGAGAUCAGGAGAUCGUGCCCACCAUUCAGGAUUCCAGAGGGGCCCUGGAUCUACCAUUCUCUGGUUUUGAGAAUGCUGCCAUGCUAAUUUUACCAGUUCCUCUUUCACUCCUCUGAUCAGCCACAGAGCCAGCAUGCCACACUCUGGCCAUGUGCUGUGACCCCUAUGGUUCUGAAGGGGAAGUUCCCUCAGUUUAGCUCAGCUUGAGGGCUUAUCAGAGGAAUCCCCAGCAGAGGUGCAAGCAGAGCUAAUUCUCUUUUCUUAAUUAUUCUGGUAUCAGACAGACCUAGGUUCGAAUCCCCCUCUGUCUCUUACUACCUGUCUCUUCAGUCAAGUUAAUGCUAUCAGGUAGUUAUUACUGUAUAAAAAACCACCCCACUCAUGUAGUUGUAGAUUAAUGAUAUAAAAAAAAAUCACCCCAACCCCUAGUUACUUUAAGCCACAACCAUCUAUGAGGUUCAUGAGUUUAUGGAUUGUGCAAGUAGUUUUUUGGAUGUGGGUCAGUCCUGCCCAAUCUCAGCUGGGCUCACUAAUGUGACUGUGGCCAGCUGUAGGCCGGCUGACAGAGGGUGGCCUCCAGUGGGGCAGCUGGGCCCUGCUGCAUAAGCUCACUCAUCUUCCAGCACGCUGGCCUGGACUUGUUUCCAUAAUAUGGCUGGAAUUCCAAGAGAGAGAGUGAAAGAUCAACAGACCUGGCUUCUGAAGAUAAGAGCUGCAGAGUCGCAUUGCAGAGACCAUGAAGAUAAGGGUGGUGAACUGGAGCCAACACACCAUAUCAUUUAACCUGUCUGAUCCUCAGUUUGCUCAUUUAUAAGUUGAGAAUAAUGUGACUUGUAUUAUGUGAUACUCGGGUGUUCUGUGUCCUUCCAGGGGAUGGCCAGUCAGGGGCUGCCAUGAGAAGGGGCACAGGAGAGAUGUGGGAAAGCAAAGUUCAUUAUACUCAUAGGUCCUGUAGAGACAGAGUCAGUGCAGGCUGAGAGGGGUUUAUAAGGAGAGAAUACCAAGGAGAGAAUACUGGCUGAGUGCAGCCCCAUGGGCAAAGGCCUUAACUGGGGGUCAGGUUGGGGUACACAAGCAAAAGGUAAAAGAAGAUUUCAUUGGUGUGUCUUUGUGUCACUAGGUCAUGGUCAUGGAGGGCGUGUAGUAAGGCGAACUUGUGUCACGGGCCCACCUUAUCACACUGGUGUACCUGGUCCCCUGGACUGGAGGCUCAUAGCCUGUUUGUGGGGAUGUUGAGGCAGCAGGAAGAUCUGACCUUCUAAAAUUUACAAUACAUAUAGUGAAACUUGGUCCCAUGAUUUUGUUUUGAAAGCUAAUCUUAAAAAAUCUAACAGGCCUGGGACUAGAUUUGCCUUUGGAGAAAACCAUUCCCUCGUAUCAGGGAGAGUGUUUGAGUGGGAGGUCUUCAGUCCCAAUAAUCAGAGGAUGAUGCAUAAUAAGGAUGCACCUCCUGUCUGAGCAGAGACUACGAGACAAUCCUGGAACAGAGAAGCGAGCUGCUUUGCUUAGUUUAGCAUUCCCACAUUCCUUUAUUUGUUCAUGAAUUCAUUCAUUUAUUCAGAGAGUCAAUCAUAAAACAUGUAUCAAGAGCCUGUUAUGUAAGAGACUUUUUAGGAGAGAAACUUCAUGAGCAAAGCCCUGGAGGUAAUAGGAAAGGGAACAUCAAGGUGGCUGGAGGAUUGUGUGAGAUGUAUCUUCAGGGGCUCUUCCUUGUAAGCCAUGUGAUGAGUUUGGCCCAUGGCCUAAAGGAAUACAGAGCCAUUGAAGGCUUUAAGCAGGGAAUGGCUUGGUUAGCUUUGUCAUUUCUAAAGCUCUCUCAGGCUACUGUGUGGCAAAUGAACAGGUGGUUGGUGGCAUGUAGUGGAGGGAAGGGACUAACUAGGUGAUGUUCCAAGCAUCUAUGCCAUUGGUGCUAAUGGCCUGGCUCACCAUGAUGGCAGAGAUAGAACUGGAUGGACUGGAGAGACAUUUGGGAGCUAGAAUUAGUGAGACUUGCUGCAUGGUGAGAGAGAGGAAAAGGAAAGGAAGGACUGGUGUUUGACAUUCGGUUUCUGUUUUGGACACUGGAUGGAAGAACCCACUGGCUGAGAUGGAGAACCCAGGAGGGACAGAAGAUGAAUCAAGCUUUAGCUGCCUGACCUUUGAGGAACCCAUGUGGAGGCAGCUGGUAAACAGAUACAAUCAGAGCUCUGGAGAAAGGUGUACUUUCAAAGUACAGAUUGGAGAGUCAAGCUAAGACAUGAGAACCAAAGCCCGGAAAGGGAAGUGCUGGGUGUGGCCAAGCCACAGUAGCAUCUCUGAGCUUCCUUGCUGUUGGGGAGGGAUGGUCCAUCCUCUCUGCAAGGAUUUUGACUAUUUUGUUCCUAUAAACAGUUGUUUGUUCCUGGGAGAGAGAGAGAGAGAGACAGAGAGAGACAGAGAGACAGAGACAGAGAGAAAGAGAGAAAGACAAAGAGAGAGAUAGAGAAAGCACAUGGUUUUGGCCAGCACAUCCUUAAGGAUGGUGGAAGUGGUGCCUAGGCAGGAACCGAUCCCACACUGCAUCAUUCUUGAAGGACACAAUUCCUGAGACAGAAAAUGCAGACUGGGGGAGCUGGGCCUGUGACUGCCAGGGAGGACCUCCAGCUCUAUUUCUGUCUCCUCAUUUCCUUUUCCCCCAUCCACCAAUGAGGGGCUGUCACCACAAGCGCAGCUCAGACCUCCCUCACUUAAACCACUAUGAUCAAGUCAGCCAGGCUUGGCUUUCAAUAAGCUACAAGGAAAAAAUUAGAAAACUGUUUCUUCUUUCAACUCUAUUUUCAUGGCUAUCAUGUUCUAAAGAGGCUCAGGAAAUCAGCUUUGAGCUUCCAAUGUGAGAGAUGUUUCAGACAGUAUCUGUCCUUGGGCAAAAAACCUUCUUGG
Molecule: long non-coding RNA, 3026 nt
Organism: Manis pentadactyla (Chinese pangolin)
Lineage: Eukaryota; Metazoa; Chordata; Mammalia; Pholidota; Manidae
Exons: 3
Source: RefSeq, a predicted model, not a curated record